This is a non-coding RNA of Varroa destructor (honeybee mite), 3719 nucleotides long. The record is from RefSeq and is a predicted model, not a curated record. Lineage: Eukaryota; Metazoa; Arthropoda; Arachnida; Mesostigmata; Varroidae.
UCUGCUUAGUAGUGUUAUUGGUUGAGGUUUUCCCACCAAAAUAUUUCACUGGCCAUAGUCGACCAGCCAGGAUCAUUUAAUUUAGUCAAAUAUAAUAGCUGUGUCGUGAUAGUCAACCAUACGCGGCACAUUUUCAACGCACAGACGAAUACAUGUGAAUUCGCUAAGUUACCCAUUGAUUCACACCGAAGGAUAUUUACAGGUGCAGCCAUUUGACGGCACACUACGGUUUUUGCGUAAGCCUCACCAGAGCUUACAAACAGCAACGGGUGCAAUUUGUUUGUACACUACUUUAUGUACGGACGUAGAUAUACAUCUACGCAAGCCUUCGAAUGGUACUUAACAAUACAUGGUAUACCGGUAUGGAUAAUAAAAGUGAUUUUGAUGAUCGUAAUAGGGAUAUGCAACGGCCUGAAAUUGCGGCAGCUCAGGCGAAAGGCAUUGGCCUAUUGAAGGAUUCGACACCAAGUUUCGUCAGGACGGUCGUUUCUGAAUGCAUCCGUAUCGUCUGCGGCACGCGGCGUACUGCGGUACGGAAAACGCGGAAUUCGACAGAGAGGAUCGUUGGAAGUCAACCCUCACUGAUCGGGUAAUGAAAAUGGAAUAUUUUAAAAAAGUCAAUAUCAGAAAAGGGACGACACUGAAACAUUCAAAAGCUUCAGUUAAACAAAAAUGUGUCGACAGUUAAACAAAAAUAAACGCUUGUUGAAGUUUGUGAAUCAAUGACAAACGGUUGUCAGCAGCGUGUUCACUAAAGCAGUAAUGGUUCUAAUUCUAUAAUUCCGCGGUAGGAAUAAUAGUUACGUGGAGUAUUCUGCAAUUAAGCAUUCAUGAUUGUUAAUAAAAACUGCAGUUGACAUCAUUCAAACUGUACAUACAUUUUUAAGACAUCUAUAUACAUAUAGACAUUAGUACCCCAUAGGGUUCUAAUAUUUUGCGCUCAUCGAUAUGUAAUUUGUGUAAACCGUAGACCACACAGUUCAACUUUAAAAGAAAAUUAAUUUUUUUUCUUCAUUCAUACAUUGAUCACCUAAUAUGUACGGAAUGUUUAUUGUUCAUAAUAUGGUAGCGAAAUAAGGUUGGAUUUAGUUGUUUGAUUGAAAUAUUAUAUUAGUAAUAGUUAUCCUUUUUGUGAAACCCGAUUCGUGAUAGCCAAAGUCUAAUCUAAACUUAUGUCGAAUAAUCAUUAUCUAUAAUAUAACUCUCAAUAAGCACCUGAUACACCAACUAAAUCUUCUUAUCAAAAUACGUUCAGCAUAUACAUAUAUAUGCUGAACCUGAAUAUAUCAUAUAUAUAUAUACAUAUAUAAAUUGUUGUUUUAUCAAAGUACAGGGUAGUAAAAUGCAGUAAUGUAAAAAAACUAAGUUAAUUUAUUUAAUUAUUAACUGAACACGACAAACUUAUUUCUCUCAGCUUACUAUAACAAUAUGCCAGGAUUCCGCAUAUUCCAUUUUAGAUAAAUACCAUGAUUUUGUGGGGACACAAUUUAAGUGUUCUCUACUGUCGUUCAGCAUGAUUCUGCAUAACCUGAUUUUUAAUAAUACUGAUUUUGCCCCUACUGUGAAAAUGCUACAAUUGCAACACGUAGCCAAAAUAACUUUGUCAGGUCUCAUAUAGUACAGCUGUCAUUCAAAAUCUACGCUUUACUGAGUGAGCUAAAAAAUCGGAGCACGGACCCAGCGACGGUGUACUACGUCGCAAAAUUGUCAGCCGCGACAUAGUAACGACAGCUAAUGUAAGCGAUUCUUUAAUAAAUAUAAUGAAAAUUCCAGCAAAAAAAGGCGCGCCUCUAUAAUUCUUGUUUUAUAUAUACGUAAAAAAAAUUGAAAUGGAAUAUAUUCUCGAAGCAGACAAUUAGGAUCCAAUUUUGUACCCACGUUUCUUUCCUCAAACGAUUGCCCCUACACAACAAACGCGCGGGCGGUUCGGUACCUGUCAUCUUCAUUUUCUGCAAAUCAGAGGGCAAACGGUGCAGUCACCAACAAGCAGUGAAAAUAGUACUCAGCAUCACUAUCAAGUGUUAUCAUCAUAAGGGAAGUAGCGACUGGCUGUAUUUGCACCACUGCAUUGCACCGUAUAAACGAGCUGCGGGCCAAAAUUAUCACAGAUCACGGAGCUGAUAACUAUGCUUUAUAUAACGCACAAUUAUCAGCUCCGUGAUUCUUAUAUCCGGUGAGCGUUAGAGUAACCAAUGACAAUAAUGUACCCACCGGUGAAGCAAGAACAACCCCACCAAGAAAGGUCAACUUAGUUCUCUCGAAAUAUACGUGACGGCCGGUACGUGCACUCUGAUAGAUGCGUGUGCAUAUGGCCUGUUUGUUGUAUAUUUGGGAGAAAGAGUUGAUUGUGUUAGCUAACAUUCGAAACUCAAGAAAGCAGCAACUAUGCUAAGCAAUGCUGCAUGCUAGAGAUACAUUGAUAUACAUUCGAUCUGGACAUCGAGACGCGACAAAGAAGGCUCACUUAAGCUCACUUAAGCUACGGACAUGUGUGAAAGGGUCUAGAUUAGCGAAUGGGCAUAAACGCACCGAGGCACCAGUUGAAGCACUAGCUGACGGAAGUACCAAAUUGAAAGAACAAUUUGGAGGCUUUCUAGUUUUGAAUUCGCUCAUUUCCCGUUUAGGCUAGACCAUUUAAUAUACGAUGGGAUAGCUUUCGUUAUUUCCUACCGGGUGACUGUAUUGCAUAUACGACAAGGAACUUAAUAUAAAAUCACGGGGAAAUUACGAACAACGAAAAUCAUGGAACCAUCACAUGGCCAGGUCUACCAGACUGAGCUAAACAUAGACAUACAGACGAGCAGAUACUGAUGACUAGUUUACUCAUUUUGCAUUAAUUGUUGAGGGAAGUUUUAAUAAUCAGUGUCUGCUAAUCGGUGCGGAGCGUUCAGCUCGUGUAGUUUUCGAAUUCCUAGAACAGAUGAAGUAUGACAACCUCCACGUAAAAGCAGUGAAGGCAGUAGUGACUUUAGCAAUUGCCUUAGGCAUUGGAAUCACACAUUGCGCUCUCAUUUUCAAUUCGAGCUUCUAUCAAUCAAUUACUUAAUUAAUUAAUUUCUGUAUUUUCGUAAGUUGCUGUAGUCGUCAUGAUACAAUGUAAAUUUAGUCAUAUAACCAACCUGCUUUUAAACAAUAAAUCGAUAUUAAGGUAGUAUUUCUAAGCACAUGGUUGUUCAUAAGGUUCGUGACAACGUUGGCAUGCUCAGGCUUUUCAUACUCUUUUUUAAUACCUAUGCUGGAUCAGUGUCUGAAAUAGGGAAGAUCGGCUUGCAGAAAACGCAUGCAUCGAGCUCAAAUCAGUUUUAACUAAAUCCAUCGAUGGAGUUAGUUUCGAAUCAAUUUCUGCUUCGCCUUUCCUAGACCAUAAACAAACUAUCACCCCUCUCCUUAUAGUGAUAUUAUAGUUGAAUAUCAUUGUCCCUGUCUACGUAUAAAUAUGUUUAAAGAAAUUUACCGUCCUUUCUUGUCUAUAAGUUUUUUGCUUGCCAACACAAAAUAUCCAGGCAAUACACGUGUUUAUAUGCGUAUUUUCAAGGGAAGCAUCUGGGGGUUCAUAGUGUGCACGUUAUCCAUUGUUCAAGGGGGCUUGCAUACAGGACGACUGCUGCGCACUAAUUUCUAAUUGUCAAUGGGAAAAACAUAUAGUGGUGGAAUUCCAUUUCUUUUUUUAGUAUUUUUUUUACGAAAGUCUAUAUUGAGCGGAUCCCAGCAUCGUCGUA